AACGGCCAUACCAUGCUGAAUAUACCGGUUCUCGUUAGAUUACCGAAGUCAAGCAUCAUUGGGCGCGGUCAGUACUUGGGUGGGUGACCACCUGGGAACACCGCGUGCCGUU
RNAcentral lists this ribosomal RNA (112 nucleotides) under Caerostris darwini. The record is from RNAcentral. Lineage: Eukaryota; Metazoa; Arthropoda; Arachnida; Araneae; Araneidae.